RNAcentral lists this transfer RNA (72 nucleotides) under Camelus bactrianus (Bactrian camel). It matches the Rfam family "tRNA". From Rfam's summary of the family: Transfer RNA (tRNA) molecules are approximately 80 nucleotides in length. Their secondary structure includes four short double-helical elements and three loops (D, anti-codon, and T loops). The record is from Rfam by way of RNAcentral. RNAcentral also lists the same sequence under 2 other names. Lineage: Eukaryota; Metazoa; Chordata; Mammalia; Artiodactyla; Camelidae.
GAGGGGAUAGCUCAGUGGUAGAGUGCCUGCUUAGCAUGCAUGAGGUCCUGGGUUCAAUCCCCAGUACCCCCA